UACAGUUUUGAUUUCUAACAUAGUUUUCCUUUAUGUGUAUAGGGGCUGUGGUGUAUAGUUAAUGAUUGUAAUUUUGUGUAGGGGAUGGAGUAUAUAUAUUUGUGUGUAUAUUGGAAAUCCAGUGUUGGGUAUGCAAUGUGUGGAUUUAUAAGGGGGUGAGAGGGGAACAGUUUUUUUCCUUUUAUUAUUAUAUUUUAUUUAUUUUUAAAAGGUAUGCAACCUUACUUCUGGCUAGGGAGACAUUGGUAUUCCAUGGCUCUACACUGACUUCUAUCAGAUGCAAACACUUCUAUCUCUCUUUGAUGUGGCAUUGGAGUGUUGCUGUGCUAACCUGAGGCAACACUCUUGAGUGGGCUUGCAGGAGGAUUACCGUGUCUCUACACGGGGUGCACACUAAGAAUCUCUUGGGCCCCCCACUUGCUAUACAAGUCUGCAAUGGCCAGGUGAGGGAGAUCUAUGUACUAGCCACUGG
Pelobates cultripes (western spadefoot toad) is the source of this 472-nucleotide non-coding RNA. The record is from the annotation of a GenBank genome assembly. NCBI's taxonomy places the organism in Eukaryota, Metazoa, Chordata, Amphibia, Anura, Pelobatidae.